AAUGCUCUACCAGCCUGGGCUUCGAAGCCUGCAGGAAGCCUCCCCAGCCACGCGAGUUCCAGAAACGCGUUCUGUUCAAAUUCCGCCCUCGGCAAUUUCAUUUACUGCCUUCCUACAGUCGUCAAUGUCACCUACUUUUAUCUCUGAACUCUUCUGUUGGUGAUCUGUGUGUCUCGUCUCCUCAAAAAGAUCUGGAGUGUUUUGAGGGCAGAGACCCCGGAUCCGUGGUCUUGGAACCAGGAAGCCAACCGACUCUCUCCCCGAAUAAGUACUUUCCUCUUUAAUGACUAUUUGUCUAGUUGCCUAGCUAUGUCUCUUCUCCCCAGCCUUUCUUGCAAACCCUUUGGGGAGAUGUGGCUUAAGUCAUCACAGGGUUUAGAAAAGUGCUUGGCGGGGCGCCUGGGUGGCUUGGUCGGUUAAGCGUCCGACUUCGGCUCAGGUCAUGAUCGCACGGUCUGUGAGUUCGAGCCCCGCGUCGGGCUCUGUGCUGACAGCUCAGAGCCUGGAGCCUGCUUUGGAUUCUGUCUCCCUCUCUCUCUGCCCCUCCCCUGUUCAUGCUCUGUCUCUCUCUGUCUCAAAAAUAAAUAAACGUUAAAAAAAAUUUAAAAAAAAAUA
This 615-nucleotide long non-coding RNA is filed under the name Felis catus (domestic cat). RNAcentral's name for it is "lncRNA (ENSFCAG00000041891.2)". Lineage: Eukaryota; Metazoa; Chordata; Mammalia; Carnivora; Felidae. The record is from RNAcentral.